GCUUGUCUCAAAGAUUAAGCCAUGCAUGUCUAAGUGUAAAUAAGUCUAUACUGUGAAACUGCGAAUGGCUCAUUAAAUCAGUUAUCGUUUAUUUGAUGAUCUCUUACUACUUGGAUAACCGUAGUAAUUCUAGAGCUAAUACAUGCACAAAAUCCCGACUUACGAAGGGAUGUAUUUAUUAGACUUAAGCCAAUAUUCCUUGUGUCUAUUGCGAUGAUUCAUAAUAACUGAUCGAAUCUCAAAUUUGAGAUAAAUCAUUCAAGUUUCUGCCCUAUCAGCUUUCGAUGGUAGUGUAUUGGACUACCAUGGCAGUAACGGGUAACGAAGAAUUAGGGUUCGAUUUCGGAGAGGGAGCAUGAGAAACGGCUACCACAUCUAAGGAAGGCAGCAGG
Molecule: ribosomal RNA, 392 nt
Filed under: uncultured Scuticociliatia
Lineage: Eukaryota; Ciliophora; Oligohymenophorea
Description: partial small subunit ribosomal RNA
Rfam family: Eukaryotic small subunit ribosomal RNA
Source: RNAcentral